Molecule: long non-coding RNA, 237 nt
Filed under: Brassica napus (rape)
Lineage: Eukaryota; Viridiplantae; Streptophyta; Magnoliopsida; Brassicales; Brassicaceae
Description: long non-coding RNA (BNAP_LNC009934)
Source: RNAcentral
UUCAAAUAAAUUUCAGUUUUGGUUAUACGGAUGAUAUGAUUAGGUGUUUAAGUUCUGGAUAAUUGUGUCCAUAAUACCACCCAACUUUUAACUCUCGUGUAUUUUGUAUUUUGGACUUUGGUAAACAAAGAAGAUGAAAAAAGCUGCAAACCAGUACUGGAUGAACCUCUUUCCAAGCACAACAACGAGAUACCUCCUGAAGGGUUGUUCAGAUCACAGCCAUUUAAUGAAUUUCCU